UUUAAAUAUGGUUGAUAUUACGAAGACAUGGCAAGGUGGACACUCAACAAUAAUAUGCUCAAAUAUAGCGUUACAAGGCACCUACUUACUGCAGACAUUCACCAGCUCUUUAAAGGUGAAAUACGAUUAUUGUAAUAUGGAUUUGGAGCUAGGGGUCUAAAUGGAAGCAAUCUCUUUAUCCCCUGUGACAGAGGUGGAUGUUAAAUCGGAAUCUGAGGCCAAAAAGUUUUUGGAUUGUUUCCAAACAGAACGAAAAUUAGAUGCAAUUCUUUCUUUUUGUUCAUUUAUGGUUGUGAAGGGUGGAGAGACCACAUGCCAGAUUCUCGGGAGGUUCAAUCGUGCUCGUGCAGCCCGGCUAACUCUCCCUCACUUUGUUUGUGAGACACCACUAUUUAUGCCCGUUGGAACACAAGGGACAAUAAAAGGUUUGACCACCAACCAACUUGAGGAUAUUGGAUGCCAAAUUAUACUCGGAAAUACAUAUCAUUUAGCACUCCGUCCGACUUCUGAGCUUAUAGAUGAAUUAGGUGGUCUUCACAAAUUUAUUGACCUUUAGAAUUUCUUCUGUAGGUGCUGGGUAAAGUGUGGUCAAUAGCCUUCAAGUAUAAUUUCCUCAUGCCACCAUAUUAUUCUUUUCUGAUACGAUCUCUAGCUUCCUUUGAAGAUUCCUCUUAGAUUGUGCCAAAAGAUAAGAACUACAAUGGAAGAAGAUUGUUUUUUUCUUGAAGGUCGGGGAAACAAGUUAUGUGACAAUGUCAUUUGGUUCAGGGUUUUACUGAGCUUCGCUGAUGUAAUUUAUCUACUUGGAUUAUUGUUUGUAUGCUGAGAUGUAUCAUGUACUUUACUAUUUCGUGUUGCAUGAAAGUUGAUAGGAA
Helianthus annuus (common sunflower) is the source of this 875-nucleotide RNA transcript. It is a transcript of the gene named queuine tRNA-ribosyltransferase catalytic subunit 1-like, with no coding region annotated. The record is from RefSeq and is a predicted model, not a curated record. The transcript has 5 exons. NCBI's taxonomy places the organism in Eukaryota, Viridiplantae, Streptophyta, Magnoliopsida, Asterales, Asteraceae.